Molecule: long non-coding RNA, 801 nt
Filed under: Equus caballus (horse)
Lineage: Eukaryota; Metazoa; Chordata; Mammalia; Perissodactyla; Equidae
Description: lncRNA (ENSECAG00000053192.1)
Source: RNAcentral
GAAAAAGAACAGCAAGAGCAAUAUUGCUAAGAUUAGUAGCAUGAGUAGGAUCAGCAGCGGCCGACCGCCAUCUUCUGAGAGUCCGCGGUGCAUUCCCUCAUCUCUCUCCUGGACCGUUGUCCUUGGGUAGAGGCUUAGCUGACUGGUGGGCGGCUCCCAGCAUCUAAAGGUACAGCUACAUUUUCUUGUAGAGUGAUCAUCCCUGCUUCUGGCAACCACAGUUGCAGCUCUGACCCAGGGACAACAGCAUAAGGGUGUAAAUUGCUCCAGACAAAAAUCCAACCAAAUUUGGGUUCCAUUGAAGAGAUCCAUCAGAGGGCCAUUUCCAGAGACUCUGACUGGUUGUUUAAGAAUAAUUGUCACGGGCCGCCCCAGGGCCGAGUGGUUAAGUGGUUAAGUUCCCACGCUCUGCUUUGGCGGUGCAGGGUUCGGAUUCUGGGCGUGGACAUGGCACGCAUCAGGCCAUGUUGAGGCGGUGUCCCACAUGCCACAACUAGAAGGAUCCACAACUAAAAAAUAUACAACUAUGUACUGGGGGGAUUUGGGGAGAAAAAGGCAGGAAAAAAAAUAAGAUUUAAAAAGAAAAAAGGAGAAUAACUUUCACCAGUUUCAUUGGGAAGCAUGUCCACAAGAGCUUGUCACACUGUCAUACCAGAAGUAGAAUUCUCCAUUAACAUAUUUUUUCUAUGUAAGUUAUUAUGAGAUAGGUUAUUAAUGUCAAAUAAAAUAUUAAUUUUCAUCAUCUGUUCUUGUCAAUUCUUCAUUUUUACUUUCUAAACUGUUGCAUGCCACACUUGUGUA